UUAACUGUAAUUUGUAUGGAGUUGGAAUAGCUUUCCUUCGUUUGCCGCUAGGGGCGCUGUUCCAACUCCAUACAAAUUUGAGUUA
Non-coding RNA from Bombyx mori (domestic silkworm), 85 nucleotides. The record is from Rfam. NCBI's taxonomy places the organism in Eukaryota, Metazoa, Arthropoda, Insecta, Lepidoptera, Bombycidae.